This 205-nucleotide ribosomal RNA is filed under the name uncultured bacterium. RNAcentral's name for it is "partial 16S ribosomal RNA". It matches the Rfam family "Bacterial small subunit ribosomal RNA", at positions 568 to 774 of the family's 1533-position model. The record is from RNAcentral.
UGCGUAGGCGGGUUUCUAAGUCAGAGGUGAAAGCCUGGAGCUCAACUCCAGAACUGCCUUUGAUACUGGAAGUCUUGAGUAUGGCAGAGGUGAGUGGAACUGCGAGUGUAGAGGUGAAAUUCGUAGAUAUUCGCAAGAACACCAGUGGCGAAGGCGGCUCACUGGGCCAUUACUGACGCUGAGGCACAAAGGCUGGGAGCAAACA